UGGCUAACGGGACACAAUCAAAAAAAUAAAACUGGAACAAUACAGAGAAGAUUAGCAUGGCCCCGGUGCA
RNAcentral lists this small nuclear RNA (70 nucleotides) under Ursus maritimus (polar bear). The record is from RNAcentral. Lineage: Eukaryota; Metazoa; Chordata; Mammalia; Carnivora; Ursidae.